UACGGGGGGGGCAAGCGUUGUUCGGAAUUACUGGGCGUAAAGGGCUCGUAGGUGGCCAACUAAGUCAGACGUGAAAUCCCUCGGCUUAACCGGGGAACUGCGUCUGAUACUGGAUGGCUCGAGUUCGGGAGAGGGAUGCGGAAUUCCAGGUGUAGCGGUGAAAUGCGUAGAUAUCUGGAGGAACAUCGGUGGCGAAGGCGGCAUCCUGGACCGGUAUUGACGCUGAGGCGCGAAAGCCAGGGGAGCAAACGGG
This 253-nucleotide ribosomal RNA is filed under the name uncultured bacterium. Its description in RNAcentral is "partial 16S ribosomal RNA". It matches the Rfam family "Bacterial small subunit ribosomal RNA", at positions 524 to 776 of the family's 1533-position model. The record is from RNAcentral.